AAUGCUCAUGGAUUAGUUUUCUACUUAACUACAAAGACAUAUUUUUGCUUUUGUUUGUUUGAAAGCAAAUGACGGAGACACUUUGUUCCAUAAGGAACAACUCAUCCCCCCUAGAUGGGGUAAGGAAGAAGCAGACCACGGCGGGGUGACCCCAGAGGCAGACCCAGGACCCUGUGAGGGAAGCCUUGGAGAAGCAGGAUCUCCUACGAGCUAAGCGCUUCACCCUCCUCAUCUCAAAUCAGACCCAUGAGAGCCCGAGACCAACACCACAGACAAGAAGAAAACAGCACCGCAGGAGGAGUCGAUGUUUUGCCCUAAGUCAAGCAGCUGAUAAGCAGCAGAACCAGGACUGAAGCCUGAGUCCCUUGGACCCCAAAGCCUGCCUUUGGACCCAUUGUAGAAGACUGUGGGGCACCGCUGGAGUACGGAUGGUGUCCCUGAGAGUUUUGCAGUGGCCGUCCUGAGCAGCUGUGACUGGCAGUCCUGUAUGUGUUCCUCUGAGCCGCACUGAGGUGGUGGGAUUAGCUGGUAAAGCACCUUCCAGGAGAACUGGGAACGUAUAAGCUGAGGCACUGGAGUAGAAACUUUCGUGAUGAUGAGGUGGAAAUCAGGCUGACCAAGACAUGGGACAUACGCUAGGAAACCCCGAGAGAUCUGGGCAAAUAGACAAGGUUGCCCUGACUGACAGGCACACAGGGAAGGUUCUCAACCUUCCUGAGUCCUCCAGGGCCCAGCUCCUGCCAUUGACAAGUACCAGGUGCCAGAUGACUAAUGAGGUGCUCACCCUGCUCUGAAAGUAGGACUUGUCCCUGCAGCCUGGCUUCCGGGGACCCUCGCACAGGCUGGAGGGCAGAGGGCCGCGGCUCGCACUGUUGAUAUUCUCCCCAGGUCCCACCUGGCGUUUUUCCUCACUUUGCUUCCCACUGCCGUUGGGAAGUUUCAUCAGCUGUAAGAAGCAUGACCUUAGAGUGCUUGGCGCCUGAAGGAGUGCUAGGAUGGUCCCCAGAACCACUCUGCCUCAUGCCUCAAGCAUAUCCUGGACGUCCAGGGGGCUGGCAGGGAAAGUGAUGGGAUUUCUUUCUGAUUCUCUGCCUCCACCCUCCGUCAUUCCAGCUCCAUUCUGGAGGCUGCCUGGCUGGGCAGGUUUAAACAGCAGGUACUUUGGCGGAGGGGGCGGGUGGUGCUCUGCACUUGCCUCAGCGUCCCAGUGUGCAGAGGAUCCUCAAGGUCAGGGGGACAUGGCCACAUCUCUGGGCUCUGCAGAGCUGAGAAGCCCCAGCACCCAGGCACACACACCCGAUGUAGUCAGCCUCGCUCUUCGCUUCCACGCUGAUCAGCUUCCCACCGCUGUUUGAACAUCCGAAACAGCUUCUAAAGUGAAAAGCUUAUUUGGCUCAGGGUUUGGAGGGGUUAGUCCAUGGUGCACUGGCUGAUGCUUUUCUAUCUGUGGUAAGGCAGAAUAUCAGGGCAGAAGCACACGGCAGAGCAAAGACAUGCACCUCAGGCUGGGAAGCAAAAGAGAAAGAGGAAGGGGUGAGGUCCCAGUGCCCCCCUCAAGGGGACACCAGUGACUCAAAGGCCUCCCGCUAGGCCCCAACCUCAGGGUUUCCAUUACCUCCUAGUGUGGCCAUGGGCUGGGAUCAAGCCUUCAACACAUGGACCUCUGGGGCACAUUUUAGAUGCAAAUUGUGGCCUCCCUUUCCCAGGAGCCCCUGUGCCCCGCUUCAGACAGUGAGUCCAUCACCCAGGACCAGCGACAGAAACCCUGUCCAUGCUGGCUUCAGGAAAAGGGAAUUGGUCUGCUGAUGGAGUGGCCAACCAUGCCUCAGGCCAGCAAGGGACACACCUACACCUCUGUGUGCCUGGCACCCAGGACCGAAGGUGACUGCAUCCUUUUCCCCCUCUCUUCUCCCUGCUCCCCAAUGUGUCAAAUUCCUCCUCGCUCGCCUCAGACACCAUCAAGGUCACGGCUCUACCACAUACUAGUCGUAGAACUUGGUCAUAUAAUUCAACAUCUCUUUUGCUGUCUUGGGGACUGAACCCAGAGACUUCUUA
Chinchilla lanigera (long-tailed chinchilla) is the source of this 2055-nucleotide long non-coding RNA. RefSeq lists it as uncharacterized. NCBI's taxonomy places the organism in Eukaryota, Metazoa, Chordata, Mammalia, Rodentia, Chinchillidae. The transcript has 3 exons. The record is from RefSeq and is a predicted model, not a curated record.